UACAGAGGGGGCCAGCGUUAUUCGGAAUCACUGGGCUUAAAGGGUGUGUAGGCGGCUAGCUAAGUAGGGUGUGAAAGGCCUCGGCCUAACCGAGGCAUUGCGCUCUAAACUGACUGGCUUGAGUAAGAUAGGGGUGUGCGGAACUUCCAGUGGAGCGGUGAAAUGUGUUGAUAUUGGAAGGAACGCCGGUGGCGAAAGCGGCACACUGGGUCUUUACUGACGCUGAGACACGAAAGCCAGGGUAGCGAACGGG
This 253-nucleotide ribosomal RNA is filed under the name uncultured prokaryote. RNAcentral's name for it is "partial 16S ribosomal RNA". It matches the Rfam family "Bacterial small subunit ribosomal RNA", at positions 524 to 776 of the family's 1533-position model. The record is from RNAcentral.